AGGAAGAGAUACGCUCCCCUCCAACGCGGCUGCUCUUUCGGCCCCUCUUUCUGGAGUCGACGCUAUCCCCUGGUUGGCCAGAAAAAUUCAUCAUCCUCCUCCUUCCUUUUGCCUUCCUGUUUACCGAUCUACUGGGAAUUUCUAAUCGUCUGCCGAUUUAAUGUUUUUAGAAUUCUGGGCAGGAAAAAUGUUCCCUUUUCUUUAGAAAGUGAGGCAUAAUCUUGACUCCCAGCUGUUUGAAUUUGAGGGUUACUUGUGGGUCUGGCUGAGGGAGUUGAAUUGAAUAACAAGUGUCUCCCAUUGAUUUGGUUUUGGGCUCUCAUUUUUAGUUUACCACUAGAUUCUUCACUCUGUCCAAACUGGGUUUUAUGGCUGACCGAAGUUCAGCGGUUGCCAAGCCGGUUUGGAUGAAGCAAGCAGAGGAGGCGAAGCUGAAGAGUGAAGCCGAGAAGGCUGCGGCAGCGAAGGCUGCUUUUGAAGCCACGUUCAAAGGGGUUGAUAAGAAUCGCGAAAAGGAUACUGUUCCAUCGGACAGUGAAUCGGAGGAAUUCGAGGACUUGGCUAAUAAGCCAAUUGGUCCCGUGGAUCCUGCAAAGUGCACAGCAGCUGGUACUGGGAUUGCAGGGGGAACAGCAUGUGCUCCAUCCUCAUUUAUGGUGGUGACCAAGGACGCUGAUGGGAGGAAGAUUUCCACGGGGGGUGCCCAGGUGAAGGUCAAGGUCUUCCCGGGAUUGGGUGUUGGAGGGUCGGAGCAAGAGGGGAUUGUCAAGGAUAUGGGUGAUGGAACGUACACUGUUACUUAUGUUGUGCCAAAACGAGGGAACUACAUGGUCAGUGUUGAGUGUAAUGGCAAGCCAAUUUUGGGCAGUCCAUUCCCUGUGUUUUUCAGUGCAGGUAAUAAUAAUGGAGGACUCCUGGGUUUAGCUCCUGCAUCCAACUUUCCCAAUCUGGUCAACCAAACCAUGCCCAACAUGCCAAAUUACUCUGGAUCUGUUUCAGGUGCAUUUCCAGGGUUAUUAGGAAUGAUUCCAGGUGUUGUUGCUGGGGCUUCCGGAGGAGCUAUUUUGCCAGGAAUAGGGGCAUCACUGGGAGAAGUUUGUCGAGAAUAUCUCAAUGGACAAUGUGCGAAAAUUGAUUGUAAAUUGAAUCACCCCCCUCAUAAUUUGCUCAUGACUGCCUUAGCUGCUACAACCUCCAUGGGGACACUUAGCCAAGCUCCUAUGGCACCUUCUGCUGCUGCAAUGGCUGCUGCUCAGGCGAUAGUUGCCGCUCAAGCCCUCCAAGCCCAUGCAGCUCAGGUUCAAGCUCAGUCAGUAAAAGAUUCUGCCGGUUCACCUGACAAGGCCGGGAAGGCUGAAACAUUAAAGAAAACUCUUCAAGUUAGCAAUCUCAGUCCACUUCUUACAGUGGAUCAGCUGAAACAGCUCUUUGGCUUCUGUGGUACUGUUGUAGAAUGUACAAUCACUGAUUCAAAGCAUUUUGCCUAUAUAGAAUAUUCAAAACCUGAAGAAGCAACUGCCGCUCUGGCAUUGAAUAACAUAGAUGUUGGGGGACGCCCUUUGAAUGUUGAGAUGGCAAAAUCGCUUCCUCAGAAGCCAUCUGUAUCGAAUUCCUCACUGUCCUCAUCUUCUCUUCCUUUGAUGAUGCAGCAAGCUGUUGCUAUGCAACAGAUGCAGUUCCAGCAAGCAUUGCUCAUGCAACAAUCUUUAACUGCACAGCAAGCUGCUAACCGAGCCGCAACUAUGAAAUCUGCCACAGAGUUAGCAGCAGCCCGAGCUGCAGAGAUAAGUAAGAAACUGAAAGCUGAUGGCCAUGAGACCGAAGAGAAAGAUGCAAAGCAGAAAUCUAGGUCACCUUCUCGUGGUAGAUCACAAUCAAAGUCUAGAUCUCCUGUCAAUCAUCGAAGAAGGAGGAAAUCUCCUUCUUACUCCCCCCCCUAUUCAAAGGACCGUAGGUCUAGGUCACCAUUGAGAUCCCAUCAUUAUUCAAUCUUUGAAAGGGAACGGAGGUUUUAUAGAGACAAAUGGGAAAACAGUGAUAGAUAUAGAAGACGGGAUUCAGAUAGAUCAUAUGAUCAUCAUUCAUCUAGUUUGAGAAGAAACAGGAGCAGGAGCGUGAGCCCUCGUUCAAGGAAAUCAUAUCGAGUUGAUUCUGUUUCUCCUAAACGCAGAGAAAGUUCACCACAUAGAGGAAGGAAGUCAUCACGUGCUGGUUCUGGCUCUCCACGUCAUCACAGAGGAAGUAGGUCAUCUCCAAGAAAGUCAUCACGUGGUAGUUCUGGCUCUCCAAGUCAUCACAGAGGAGUCAAGUCAUCUCAAGUUGAUGAUGAGAGCAAACUAAGAAUGAGAAGACGCUCCAGGUCAAGAUCUGCUGAGGAUAAGCAUCAUUAUAUUGAUAAAACAGAUGGAAAAUCUAAACAUAGAGAGAGGCGGCAGUCAGUGGAACCAGAGCCUCAUGGAAGAAGCCGGUCAUCCCCAAGAAAGGGGGAUGAAAGUAGAUCCAGGUCCAGGAGGCGGUCCCGGUCAAAAUCUUUAGACAGCGAUUACCAUUCUCUUGAGAAGGUGGAUGAACGCAGGAAUAGAAGACCAAGGCAUCGUGAAAAAAGGCAUUCUAGAUCUAGAUCUGUGGAAAAUAAGAGUCCAACUGCUGAAAGAGAGAAUGAGAGCAGAAAACAUCGUCACACUAAAAAGUCUAGGUCAAAAUCUGUUGAAGCAAAGCAUCGUGUUAAAGAUAAAUCAGGUGAAAUCAAAGAUAAGAAAGCGAAGCAUCGAGAUAGAAAGAGUUCAAGGUCAACAUCAGUAGAUCGUAAGCAUGGCAAAGGAGGCACAUCCCAAGGAAAUUUUGAUGAGGGCAGUUUUGAAGACACAAAGGACUACAAAUCAAAAUCACCUGAGGGAAAGGAUUGCUCUAAUGGAAGAGGAGAUGAAAAUUUAGAGCAUCCAGCAGAAUCUCUGUCUAAAUCAGUGUCAGAAAGUUGUCGGCAAUGUGAUGGGAGUGGGUUAUCCCCAGGGAGUUUCAAGGGGCAUGAAUUUAAAGACACUAACCCAUCUGGUUUUGGAUGUGGAGAAGGUGAGCAUCAUUUGAGUGAUCAGGAGAAUGGACAUAGUGAUGAAAAUUCAAAACUUCGUGAAGAUACCAUGCAGGAAGUGAUUAUAGACGUGAAGAAUUCAACAAACAUGAGAGAUGAUCAGAUGCUGGUCCCGUCAAAUCAAAGCUGCAACUCGGCGGUGCCAACUGAAAAUGCAAAAGCAGAAGAUAACCCAGGGGAUCUAAGUGGAAAGAGAAUGGGAACUGAAUAAUGAAGAACACAAGCUUUGCGCACCAGGAGUGGGGCCUCAAAAUGUUUUUGAAGAUUCAACUUAGGUUUUUAUGAGGAAUAACUACGACAAAAGACCUGUAUUAUUGUAUUUGUGAUUCAGAAGUACUGGGAGAUGGAAGUAAUUUAGUUUCUUCACCUAGACAUGUGGGGGAGAGCUGCGUCAACCUUGAUGGUUAUGAUUUCUGAUCGACAGAGGAUAAUUCCUGAUAGAUCAUGACGUGAAUUAUGAUUGUCUAUGAUUGAGGAUUUCUGCACGAGGCAAUAGUCAUGGCUGCUGAUGAGUCCACAUUCUGAUUUAGGGAGGUCAAAUUUCAUGAACGAGUUCUUUCCGAGGAGUGAACUGUUACUUCUUAGGACAAGCUCACAUCACAUGGGAGAUGCUUCCACUGUUUGAUUUGGCCUUGGGAAUAUUCUGUGUUGGUUUUUAUGGAUGUCUUUGUCUAUUUCUUUUUUGCAGGUGGUUGUGGAACAGAUCACUGAUAAAAUCCUUGACCAGUUGACACGGUUUAAGGUUUCAAGAAGCGUCCUGCUUUUGCAAUGUCUAAUGAUCAACCAUGCAACACGCAUAACAUGCUUGUUUUACUGCUUGGUUGAUGUUAUAUUCAAGUGAACUCAGUUGGAGCUUUUUGAGAUACAAUUUUGCUGGGUUGAUUUUCUCUUGUGUAAAUGAAGAAAUUGUCAUAAUAGGUAAAGCUAUCACACAAGGUCAAGUGAAACCAGAUGUUGCUGCAAUGAGUUACAUCAUGUUGCAUGUGAGCAAAUUGGCUGUUACACAUUACUUAAGUAAAUGGGAAAUGGAAAUGUUGAUUUUGACAGGAUAAGCUGUGGAUAUGAAUGAUCUUGAGAGCAGCUGCAAUGAAUCUCAUCUGCAGAUGAUUGUGUGAAGUUUGACCUUUGCAGUUCUAAUUGUUUUUCCUUUUUUUUUUUCAAUGUUUUGUCUAAUAACCAGUUGUUUGUCAGAGAUGCCGAUUGUAUGUCUCCCUGGCAAUCAGAUUAAGCUUUUAUCAAUCAAAUAAGAUUUUGUUCUCAGCUGGAGCAGUUGUUCAAAAUAAUUAACGUUUCUAUUGGCCCCGCA
RNA transcript from Neltuma alba, 4394 nucleotides. RefSeq lists it as uncharacterized. The transcript is spliced from 10 exons. NCBI's taxonomy places the organism in Eukaryota, Viridiplantae, Streptophyta, Magnoliopsida, Fabales, Fabaceae. The record is from RefSeq and is a predicted model, not a curated record.